RNAcentral lists this ribosomal RNA (460 nucleotides) under uncultured bacterium. Its description in RNAcentral is "partial 16S ribosomal RNA". It matches the Rfam family "Bacterial small subunit ribosomal RNA", at positions 338 to 795 of the family's 1533-position model. The record is from RNAcentral.
CCUACGGGAGACAGCAGUGAGGAAUAUUGGUCAAUGGACGAGAGUCUGAACCAGCCAAGUAGCGUGAAGGAUGACUGCCCUAUGGGUUGUAAACUUCUUUUAUAUGGGAAUAAAAUGUUCCACGUGUGGGAUUUUGUAUGUACCAUAUGAAUAAGGAUCGGCUAACUCCGUGCCAGCAGCCGCGGUAAUACGGAGGUUCCGAGCGUUAUCCGGAUUUAUUGGGUUUAAAGGGAGCGUAGGUGGAUUGUUAAGUCAGUUGUGAAAGUUUGCGGCUCAACCGUAAAAUUGCAGUUGAAACUGGGAGUCUUGAGUACAGUAGAGGUGGGCGGAAUUCGUGGUGUAGCGGUGAAAUGCUUAGAUAUCACGAAGAACUCCGAUUGCGAAGGCAGCUCACUGGACUGCAACUGACACUGAGGCUCGAAAGUGUGGGUAUCAAACAGGAUUAGAUACCCUGGUAGUC